GAAGCUGCGUGUGGGAAGCGCUCUUGGUGGGAAACGUUCUUGUUGGGCUUGUGGGCUGGUUGCCGCCUUGCAUCGUGAGACCACCUCGGGCAUGGAGAGCUGCACACGGUAGAAGAAGCACGAGGCACCCAGGUCACGCCGCUACGGAGCCGCACCAGCCCCGGGUAUCUUACCUCUGGAGCUGAGUGAUGAAGGAGAAGUAAACCACUCUUUAUAAUUUUAGUUUAUCAAAGAAGCCCUGGGAGCCAAGCCUACUCCUAAUGAACAUAAUCAUACAUGUUAAAAUCGUCUUUUCUAUGGGUUUGAUACGAGACACAGUUUUAGAAGGCAGCUCGUUGAACAACCUCAGUGCUUGCAUACAGCAAGUGCUCACUACGUAUCUAUAGAGUAACUGAACGGAUGAAUGAGGGAAGAGGUGUCACCGUGUUCCUCACUGUGUCCUUGCGUUGACACUGGAGCAGGCUUUGGAGACAGGAAGACCUCAGAAAUGCUUCACAAUGUGAUGGAAAGCCUGUUCUAGAUGAGAUUAAGGACUCUCCCCACACGGAGACUUCAAAUGCAUGAUGCUUAUAACAAGACCAGAGCUGGAAGAUUUCCUGAAGUGGGAGAAAGGAAAGCGCUCCCUGCCUGCUUGGAAUUGCUGUGUGCACGAUGCCCUGCAGAGAGAGAGAAGAGAGCAGGCUGGAUGCCUUCCAGAAACCAGAAGGGAAGCUGAUUCCUACUUGGGAGGGUGUUAAAAAUCUGAUGAGCAGGGCCGACAGACCGAGGGGAAAAAGUGGAGGAGAAAGGGAGACGUGUGAGCAUCUUUUCCAAUUUUUGUUGUUUUCUUACAGCCAAAUGCCUGGAAAUCUGCGGCAUCAGCAAUUCCCUGUCCCCAGCACAUAGUAAGCGCUCAGGAAAUGUACACUGAAUUGGAGUUGAAUUUGGCCGAUGAGGGUUUGGAGGUUGUGUUAGCUGCUGUGAUCUGAUUCAACCAAGUCUCACCGCACCCCCCCCCCCCCCAACUCCCACCUUCGCUGGUGCAUUCAUAUCACCUAAUAAUCUGUCACCAAGAGCAACAGCCUUUGGCUGUGUCACAGGGAAGAAUCCAGCCCUUCCCAGGGGAUAUCCCCAGCACAGGAGACUGCCCCGCUCCACCCACACACUGGGUCUCUGAGUCAGAAGGGCGUGUUUCUGCAACUAAUUUUACUACUCUUGUUUCUACCUCCUUGAUAAAACUUUGCUAGCAUUUUAGGGAAGGGGUCUGCACCAGCUGAGAUCCCAAGAGUAGUUUAUCCUGAUAAAGAGGAGUUUCCCUGAUCACCUCCCCUCCUGCUUCUUCAUUUUCUGUCCUUAGACAACUGGGGGUGGGGGGAGGGGAACAGACUGCGCUGUAAACAGCGUCGUCUCCUGCAGCUCGUCUGCCUGGCAAGGACUCUUGGAAUUAUAGAUAAUUAGUGAAGUUGUAGCAGCCAGCUAACUCGGCACCAGUGCAAAGCUACUGGGUUAGUGAGUGGAGUAUAUCCAAGGAAAGGGAUUAUUCCAAGCGUCGGUUACGGGCAGAUGCAGUUGCCUUGUACCUCCCAGGCUUUUGUGUGGACAGCAACAAACCAACCAGACAAAACUCUUGGCUCACUUGGGGCUUAUAUUCUAAUGAUCCAUCUGUCUGUCCGUCUUAUGCAGUGACCUGAAAUAACGCAGACAAUAAAAUUACACACCCACACACAUCAGGAUCAAAGGAUAUGUCAAUGAGAAGGGAAGGUCAACAUCAGAGAAGAAAAGAAAUACCAUGAGGCAAUCCAUAGGGUCCUACAGAGUUGCCAAUGCUAAAUGGGAACUUAGGCCUGGGGCUCCCUGACGGCCAAGGUGGAGAGGGCAAGUGUGUCACACACAUGAGUCUUACUGUUCAGAAAGGGAUAUCACCACUUUCCCUAUUUCCUUUCACAAUAAAAUCUGUUAUCUAAUCCUAGGACCUUACUUAAUAAGCCUUGGAACAAUCUUAUGAUUCAGUGGCCAUUGUUAUCCCCACUUUACAGAUGGAAAACCUGGGUCUUUAAAAAAGUUGAGUGCCUUUUCCAAGGUCACUUGUGGAAAGUGGCAGAGCUGAAGUGAAUUUUCAGCAGUCUAAAUUCGGAGCCAGUGUUCUUAACCAGAUACAGUUGGCCCUUGAACUGUGCAGUAAAAAAUCCAAAUAUAACUUUUGACUCCCCCAAAACUCAAUUAUUAAUAGUCUACUGUUUCCUGGAAGCCUUACUGAUAACAUAAACAGAUGAUUAACACAGUUUCUAGGCUCUAUGUAUUCCAUACAGUAUCCUUACAAUAAUAGAAGCUAGAGAAAAGAAAAUGUUAAUAAAGUCCUAAGGAAGAGAAAAUACAUUUACAGUACUGUACUGUGUUGAUAUAAAAAAGAUCUGCAUGUAAGUGGACCCACGCAGUUCCAACCUGUGUUAUUCAAGGGUCAGUGACUUCAAUGUCUCUCCCCCAGGGCAAACUGGAAAAGUACAUGAAUGGUCCUUGGGCAAAAGCCUAAUUGCCCCAGGAGAUGGUCUCCUGCCAGAGAUCUGGGAGGGAAAGAAGGGGAGAGGCACAUCCACAUGAAGUGGGAAAAUGAUAUUAAGUACUUAAUUCAUCAGCUUCCAGACCCAAGACAUCCCAAGAAUGGGGAAACCAGGGGUGUUAGGUCUCAGGCUUCAGAUGGCCCCCGGCUAAACUAGUCUGAUAAUCUUGUACCCAUCUCUUGUUGUCAUAAAGGCAGAAAUAAGUGAAAAACAACUCCCCCUCCCACCCCCAUUAGCUUGGCUCUGCCUAUUCUCAGGCUUCCUCCUUGCAGUGGAGCCUCUUAGGUCUGGAAGGGGUGCUGCAGUGCUUGGGAAAAACAGGGGUGGGGGGCGUUCUCCAAGGUGCUGAAGCAAGUGGCGCUUACUUUUUGGAUUGGCUGCUUGCCUCUGAGUCACUACUUCUGGUAACCACAUGAGUGGGAAAAAAACAAAACAAAACAAAAAACCCCACUCCUCAAAAUAGGAGACAAACUGCAUGACCAAGCUGGGAAAAUAUACCAGUUUGUACCCAUUCAAGUUUAUUUACAGGUGAUACCAAUCCUGAGAGGUCACACAGGGUUAAUAAAGUGUGUAGAAUGGAUUCUGGAGUUGGACUGCAUUGGCUCAGCAGCUCAGAAGCUGAGAGACCUUGGGCAGAUUCCUUAAUGCCUUCUUUUUUUUUUUUAAGAUUUUAUUUAUUUAUCUGACAUACA
Lutra lutra (Eurasian river otter) is the source of this 3229-nucleotide long non-coding RNA. RefSeq lists it as uncharacterized. The transcript is spliced from 3 exons. The record is from RefSeq and is a predicted model, not a curated record. NCBI's taxonomy places the organism in Eukaryota, Metazoa, Chordata, Mammalia, Carnivora, Mustelidae.